RNAcentral lists this ribosomal RNA (385 nucleotides) under uncultured bacterium. RNAcentral's name for it is "bacterial SSU rRNA". It matches the Rfam family "Bacterial small subunit ribosomal RNA", at positions 355 to 754 of the family's 1533-position model. The record is from RNAcentral.
UCGGGAAUUUUGGGGCUAAUGGGCGAAAGCCUGACCCAGCAACGCCGCGUGAAGGAUGAAGUAUUUCGGUAUGUAAACUUCGUAAGAAUAGGAAGAAUAAAAUGACGGUACUAUUUAUAAGGUCCGGCUAACUACGUGCCAGCAGCCGCGGUAAUACGUAGGGACCAAGCGUUGUUCGGAUUUACUGGGCGUAAAGGGCGCGUAGGCGGCAAUUCAAGUCAUCUGUGAAAUCUCCGGGCUUAACUCGGAACGGUCAGAUGAUACUGCUUUGCUAGAGUGCAGAAGGGGCAAUCGGAAUUCUUGGUGUAGCGGUGAAAUGCGUAGAUAUCAAGAGGAACACCUGAGGUGAAGACGGGUUGCUGGGCUGACACUGACGCUGAGGCGC